GAUAGGGUCAGUUCGGCUGGAUCGGUGACAGGUGCUGCAUGGCUGUCGUCAGCUCGUGUCGUGAGAUGUUGGGUUAAGUCCCGCAACGAGCGCAACCCUUGUCCUUAGUUGCCACCAUUCAGUUGGACACUCUAAGGAGACUGCCGGUGUUAAACCGGAGGAAGGUGGGGAUGACGUCAAGUCCUCAUGGCCCUUAUAUCCAGGGCUACACACGUGCUACAAUGGCCGGUACAAAGGGUCGCAAUACCGCGAGGUGGAGCUAAUCCCAAAAAGCCGGUCUCAGUUCGGAUUGGAGUCUGCAACUCGACUCCAUGAAGUCGGAAUCGCUAGUAGUCGCGUAUCAGCGUGACGCGGUGAAUACGUUCCCGGGCCUU
RNAcentral lists this ribosomal RNA (374 nucleotides) under uncultured Geothermobacter sp. RNAcentral describes it as "bacterial SSU rRNA". It matches the Rfam family "Bacterial small subunit ribosomal RNA", at positions 1008 to 1382 of the family's 1533-position model. Lineage: Bacteria; Pseudomonadati; Thermodesulfobacteriota; Desulfuromonadia; Desulfuromonadales; Geothermobacteraceae. The record is from RNAcentral.